Molecule: long non-coding RNA, 724 nt
Organism: Eriocheir sinensis (Chinese mitten crab)
Lineage: Eukaryota; Metazoa; Arthropoda; Malacostraca; Decapoda; Varunidae
Exons: 3
Source: RefSeq, a predicted model, not a curated record
AUAUGUUGACAAUUCAUCCAUAGCUUGUUCAGAAUAUGCAGUUCUAGGUUCAUUAACAAGACUAGGAGGUACGACCGUAGCCGUAGUAUUUGUGUUAGUUGCAACAUUUUCUUCGUCUAAUUUUCUCUUCUUAGACUGCACCGCCGUCAGACAAUCAGUCGUUGAUUUGGCUUUCAUCGUCUUGUGAUCGGAUAUAGCUAUUACAUUACCAAUGUUAUUUCUGAUAAAAGAUUUCAUGGAGUGAAUCAAGGAAAAGUUAUCCAAGGAUUUCCUGUAACUUUGAGUACAUUUGUAUUUGUGUUAGUGUUACAGAUGGUACAGUACUGGGACGCGACGUGUUUCACUUGCGGAUUUGUGCUUGUCCGACACGAGAUUUAAAGACAGACGAACAAGCUAACUCUAAGAAGAGAAGAUUAAAACGCAAAAGAUAUUCAACUGAGACUCAGAUCGCAAAAAUACCAAAACUAGUUGACCCAGAGCCUCAUGUGUCCAACUUAAAUGAAGUUUACAACAUUAAGGUAGUUGGACGUCAGUUGUACUUGUUCAUGAUGAAGAUCAUGCAGUUUUACUCCAGCACCCACCUGAACAUUCCUGACGCUCCAUGUCAACAAAACGAAAACACGAUGGUACACCAAGAGCAGGAUGUGCUCAUGAGAAACAUGUAUUCUAAUAAUCUGAAGAAGCUCAAAGAAAAGCUGAAGAACUUGAGAGAAGAAAGCAAACA